UACGUAGGGUGCAAGCGUUAAUCGGAAUUACUGGGCGUAAAGGGCGCGUAGGCGGCCUUCUAAGUCAGACGUGAAAUCCCCCGGCUUAACCUGGGAACUGCGUCUGAUACUGGGAGGCUCGAGUAUGGGAGAGGGAUGUAGAAUUCCAGGUGUAGCGGUGAAAUGCGUAGAUAUCUGGAGGAAUACCGGUGGCGAAGGCGGCAUCCUGGACCAUAACUGACGCUGAGGCGCGAAAGCUAGGGGAGCAAACGGG
Molecule: ribosomal RNA, 253 nt
Filed under: uncultured bacterium
Lineage: Bacteria
Description: partial 16S ribosomal RNA
Rfam family: Bacterial small subunit ribosomal RNA
Source: RNAcentral